This 460-nucleotide ribosomal RNA is filed under the name uncultured bacterium. Its description in RNAcentral is "partial 16S ribosomal RNA". It matches the Rfam family "Bacterial small subunit ribosomal RNA", at positions 338 to 795 of the family's 1533-position model. The record is from RNAcentral.
CCUACGGGGGGCAGCAGUGAGGAAUAUUGGUCAAUGGACGAGAGUCUGAACCAGCCAAGUAGCGUGAAGGAUGACUGCCCUAUGGGUUGUAAACUUCUUUUAUAUGGGAAUAAAAUGUUCCACGUGUGGGAUUUUGUAUUAACCAUAUGAAUACGGAUCGGCUAACUCCGUGCCAUCAGCCGCGGUAAUACGGAGGAUCCGAGCGUUAUCCGGAUUUUAUUGGUUUAAAGGGAGCGUAGGUGGAUUGUUAAGUCAGGUGUGAAAGUUUGGGGCUCAACCGUAAAAUUGCAGUUGAAACUGGCAAUCUUGAGUACAGUAGAGGUGAGCGGAAUUCGAGGUGUAGCGGUGAAAUGCGUAGAUAUAACGAAGAACUCCGAUGGCGAAGGCAGCUUACUGGACUGCAACUGACACUGAGGCACGAAAGUGUGGGUAUCAAACAGGAUUAGAUACCCCAGUAGUC